UGAUGUAUAAGAGUGGUGGUCAGCCGAAGGCGUGACUCCACGGAUUUACAAAGCUUGGAAAAUGGUAAUUUUAUUGGUUGGUGGUACAUUGAACACAGUAAUCACUACAUUUCCUGGAAAUUUUGAAUUCACAAGCACAGAAACUUCUGAUGAAGAUGGUCAUUAACAGCUGCAGAUGCCCCAAGGGGGACGGUGGUUGGCCAGAUAUAGUUACUUGCCUUUUGUUUCAAUCUCAUUUUUGCAUGAACCGCCCUUCCGGGUUUUCGG
Molecule: long non-coding RNA, 267 nt
Filed under: Medicago truncatula (barrel medic)
Lineage: Eukaryota; Viridiplantae; Streptophyta; Magnoliopsida; Fabales; Fabaceae
Description: long non-coding RNA (MTRU_LNC007260)
Source: RNAcentral